RNAcentral lists this unclassified non-coding RNA (433 nucleotides) under soil metagenome. RNAcentral describes it as "partial contains 5.8S ribosomal RNA, internal transcribed spacer 2, and large subunit ribosomal RNA". The stretch from base 1 to 120 matches the Rfam family "5.8S ribosomal RNA", at positions 35 to 154 of the family's 154-position model. The record is from RNAcentral.
GAUGAAGAACGUAGCGAAAUGCGAUACGUAAUGUGAAUUGCAGAAUUCAGUGAAUCAUCGAAUCUUUGAACGCAUAUUGCGCUCUCUGGUAUUCCGGAGAGCAUGCUUGUUUGAGUAUCAGUAAACACCUCAACUCCCCUUUCUUUUUUUGAAAUGGGAGCUGGACUUGAGUGAUCCCAACGCUUUUCUCACCGAAAAGUGGCGGGUUGCUUGAAAUGCAGGUGCAGCUGGACUUUUCUCUGAGCUAAAAGCAUAUCUAUUUAGUCUGCCUAAAAAACAGAUUAUUACCUUUGCUGCAGCUAACAUAAAGGAGAUUAGUUCUUGUGCUGACUGAUGCAGGAUUCACAGAGACAGCUUCGGCUGGCCUUUGUAAACUCGAUCUCAAAUCAAGUAAGACUACCCGCUGAACUUAAGCAUAUCAAUAAGCGGAGGA